GGGAGUGAUUGUGUCCCGGUGGGCGCCCCAGUCUUCAAAAUUGGUGGCCGGCUGCGCAGAGCAGGCGGCGGUGGGUUCGACUCCCAUUCACUCCCGCC
This 98-nucleotide transfer RNA is filed under the name Ardenticatenaceae bacterium. RNAcentral describes it as "tRNA-Sec". It matches the Rfam family "Selenocysteine transfer RNA". The record is from RNAcentral. Lineage: Bacteria; Bacillati; Chloroflexota; Ardenticatenia; Ardenticatenales; Ardenticatenaceae.